This 245-nucleotide unclassified non-coding RNA is filed under the name Hevea brasiliensis (rubber tree). Lineage: Eukaryota; Viridiplantae; Streptophyta; Magnoliopsida; Malpighiales; Euphorbiaceae. The record is from RNAcentral.
GCAAAAGGUCGGUCUGUAAAAACUGAUUGCAAAAUUAUAGAAACAAAAAUAUAAACCGCUGAUACAAUCCCAUAAAAAAACAUGUUCAUAAUUACCCAUGCCUAGACUUCUUCUAAGACGUAAGACUAGAAUCAUCUGCUGAAUGACAUGGCCGAAUACAACUGCAUGAGAAGCUGAAAUCACCUGAUCUGUGAUGCCGAGCAAAGCAAACCAGAGGCAUCAGCUCCAACAACUGCAAGAUCACA